Pteropus alecto (black flying fox) is the source of this 3310-nucleotide long non-coding RNA. RefSeq lists it as uncharacterized. The record is from RefSeq and is a predicted model, not a curated record. NCBI's taxonomy places the organism in Eukaryota, Metazoa, Chordata, Mammalia, Chiroptera, Pteropodidae. The transcript has 2 exons.
GCGCGCCGCCUCCCUCCCGCCUGCAGCCCCACCUCCGCUCCCUACCACGUCCCCGAGCCUGGAUUAAAAAGCCCUGGGGCUGCAGAGGCGGGCGAGGACAAAGGGUUGAUAAACCAGAACGGGGCAGAUCAUGCUGUAGCUGCUGCCUGGGAACCACACUUCGAGAACCACUGAAUUAGAACUCUCAUCCACUGUAUUCAGUAAAGCAUCAGUCAAAAGACCAGAAAUUCUGCAGAUAAAUGAAAAAACCCAUCAGUGAAGAACUACUUAGAAAACUGCUGACUUCAGAGAACUGUAUCACUAUUUGGAACAAGAUUCCUAAGUAUUACUAGGGUCAGGAUCUUUUGCACUAUCUCUAUUUCGAUCUCUAGAUUUGGGGGCCCUAGGAAGUAGCUCUUGGAACCGUAGCCACUUUCGUAUUGUGUUCCCUUCAUUGCAGUGUUUCUAAGAACCAUUACUGGGCUAGGAGGGAGUUUCCAAGAGAAAGAUGUGGAAAAUCCCCAUGUCUCAAACCAGUUGUGUUAGGUUUCAUUGCUCUAGUUGUGAUAUUGGAAAUGGCUGUUCUAAUUACUAAAAAUUAUGCCAGGAAAAAAAGUGAUUCCGAGAGACGAGAAAAAUGCAAGAAUAUCAAGUCAAGCCAGUUAGUCAAGCCACAACCAUGAUUUAUUUCACUGCGCUGCUCGGAAAUCUUUAAGAUGCUAGGAAGCAAUCGUGCUUUGCGUUAAAUACUAACACAGCAUUUCCAAACACUGUUUUAAAACCAAGAGAUUUCCAGUUCAACUGCACAUUGCAGUAAUACGGGUAUCAGCAGAAUCUAUCUUAAAAUAGUAAAUAUUAGAGUCUUUCAAAUUAAGUUAUUAAAUACCCAUAGCAGUUUAAGUGAAAUUUAAAGUACAUGUUAAAUCAGUCAGCCAGUAAGCAAGAAUUUAUGCAAACUCAUUAUGUCUUUUUUCUGUCUUCAGGCAGCUUUGUUUAUUGAAAGGGGAGAAAAUGUGCAUGCUACAAUUAGAAUGAUUAGUAAGUUAAAUGGUAUUGACUUAAAUUCAAUAGCAGUGCAGAAAAAGUUGAAAUUAGUAUGUAUGGGCUGACGUAGCUGAAGGGGGCGAGAGGCACUUGAGAUGGGUCUUAGGAUGGAUGAAACAGAAGAAGGGAGUACAGAAAAAGAAAAUAGAAUCAUCAGAAGUCUUGGGAGCUGAGUUAAAUACAGUGCUAGCCUGUAGGUAAAGAGAGAUGUUGGGGAUUUUGUGGGACAUUUGAAUGUCCAGGUUUAUCUACUGUAUACAUCUUAUUCUCUAUAACCGCUCAAAGACCAUGUAUGAAGGGUGAGCUGUAAGCUAGACACUGUGCUGUGGCGUUACAUCGGCCUUGGCGACUAGAAACUGGUUAGUGUUUGGCCAAUGCAAAAGAACUGGGACUUAAUGUUAUGGACUUGAGCAGAGCAGAGGCAUGAUGAAAACUUUAUUUUAGGAAGUUAGCUAGGCAACAGGAUGGGUUAGAGUUUCAGGCAGAGAUUUUGGGAUGAUUAUAGGAAGACCUGUUAAAAAGCCACUGCAUUUAUUCCUGUGUCGGGUAACAAAGGUCCACUGUAGACAUAUAAAGAAAGUGGUAAAUAUGAGAACCGUUUUUGAAGGAAUGAACAGCAGGACUCGGUAAUACAUAUGCAGAGGAUAAAAGAGAGAGAAUGAUUAAAGAUGGAGAUAAGAUUUUCGGUGUGAAAGACUGUUAGAAAAAAAUGGUCUAAAUAAGCAGAAAUGUGAGAGUUAAGGAGUUCAUUUGCAAAAAGAUGAUGGAAAACUUGAUUUGAGAUAUGCAGAGUUUAGGUGCCCGAGAAAACGAAGUGGAACGCUUCUGCAGUCAAAGCACAGGUGGGAGAGGGGCCGAGUUUCCAGAAUGAGAGGGAUGGUCGACACCGUUAAGAGCUGGAGUGAGUUCAGCGUGAGAGAAAAGGCUGGCCGGAUCGUUUUCAAGCUUGUUCAGAAAUGUCGCUUCACCAUACUUUCACAUUCCAUUUCAGGUUUUUGAAACCUAAAACUUGAACCACGCCAUGAAGCCUUAGACGCUUACGCCUCUAAAAAUCCUGUGUACCAGUUCCAAAACAUUCAUAGUAAAGAUCCAUCAUUGUCCACUACCGGUAGGGUGAAGCCCAAAACCCUUAGCCUGGAAUUUCAUUAUCUCUACAAAACAAUUCUCAUCUGUUUUUCAGCUUCAUCUCACACCUCUUCCCCAACCCAAUGGCGACAGGGUAGAUUUCGGGGUACAAAUGUGUUUCGUGACCUGCGUGCCCCUGCCUCCCUCUUUUCUAAUCUGAUGGUCAGGCCCUUUAGCAUUAUAUUGACUCAAGAGUUUUUACAGAGCAAAGAGCAGAGACCAAAGUCAAAUGCAUUCCCUGACUUAUAAAAUUCUAAAUCCACUGAGAAGAUUAAGCCAGGUGUCCCAGUGGGAAGAGGAGAGAGAGAACUAUCUUUGAGGUCAGUAAGAGAGGAGAAGGAGAGAUUUCACUCACAGAGUUGGGGGGGGGGGGGUCAAAGAAUAACCAGGACCCACCUCCAUUCCUGUCAGUGCCCUGGGAAGCAGCAAAACCUGGGGGAGGAGAGGGCAGGAAAAGGCAAUGGGUGACUUGGAGAGGCGGGACUGUAAGUCUAUGAGUUCUGGCUCCAUGAAAGAGUCCGGUAGAGCAAGCUGUUAGGGAUGGUAGAACCAUGCUUGCCGGGGUACGGCGCCUAGCGGUGGACCAGUGAUCAGAGCAAUUUCCUCGACUCUUUGGCACCUGGUAAAACCUAGGGACCUUCACCUUCACAUAACUGAGAGAGCAGGGAGGAAGAAGUACCAAAUGGAUGAAACUGAAUUCUAGCCUGAUUAGGACAGGAAUUCUGGGUAACAUUAACUGACCUAAAGGAAGCAAAGAAAUGUGAUGUCUCCUGUAUAACUGAAUUUGUGAACUGAGUCAUACCCACUACGAACCUUUUGUAUGUGUUCAUUGAGGCCCAGUCCUAGACACUUUCCACCUCUUUUUAUUUCAAUGUCAUCUCAUCCUUUCUCAUCUUUAGACCAGUAGCUUCCCAUUUAUAGCUACAUCCCAAAAUUCUCUGAGUUCAGUUCUCCAGUAGCCGACUUCCUAUUUGUAUCUGCAUAUGUCAGAGACAUCUCAAAAUCACCACAGGAAAGACUGAACUCUUGAUUGCCAUCCUCUCCUGACCUAUAAUGCCCCCAUCCUUCUUCCUAAUUCUCUAUUAGGGGUCAGCAAAUGAUGAACUGUGGGCUAAAGCCAGCCCCCCACCUGUUUUUGUAAAUAAAGUUUUAUUGGAACACA